GACGAACGCUGGCGGCAUGCCUAACACAUGCAAGUCGAACGGAGAUUAUUUCGGUAAUCUUAGUGGCGCACGGGUGAGUAACGCGUGGGCAACCUGCCCUCUAGAUGGGGACAACAUCCCGAAAGGGGUGCUAAUACCGAAUGUGACAGCAAUCUCGCAUGAGGAUGCUGUGAAAGAUGGCCUCUAUUUAUAAGCUAUCGCUAGAGGAUGGGCCUGCGUCUGAUUAGCUAGUUGGUGGGGUAACGGCCUACCAAGGCGAUGAUCAGUAGCCGGUCUGAGAGGAUGAACGGCCACAUUGGGACUGAGACACGGCCCAGACUCCUACGGGAGGCAGCAGUGGGGAAUCUUCCGCAAUGGGCGAAAGCCUGACGGAGCAAUGCCGCGUGAGGGAUGAAGGAAGUCGUUCCGUAAAGCUCUUUUGUUUAUGACGAAUGUGCAGAUUGUGAACAAUGAUCUGUAAUGACGGUAGUAAACGAAUAAGCCACGGCUAACUACGUG
RNAcentral lists this ribosomal RNA (498 nucleotides) under uncultured bacterium. RNAcentral's name for it is "partial 16S ribosomal RNA". It matches the Rfam family "Bacterial small subunit ribosomal RNA", at positions 28 to 507 of the family's 1533-position model. The record is from RNAcentral.